GCUCUUCGGAGGNACUCGAGUGGCGAACGGGUGAGUAACACGUGGGCAAUCUGCCCUGCACUUCGGGAUAAGCCUGGGAAACUGGGUCUAAUACCGGAUAGGACCUCAAGACGCAUGUCUUCUGGUGGAAAGCUUUUGCGGUGUGGGAUGGGCCCGCGGCCUAUCAGGGCCUUGUUGGUGGGCUGUGAUGGCCUACCAAGGCGACGACGGGUAGCCGGCCUGAGAGGGUGUCCGGCCACACUGGGACUGAGAUACGGCCCAGACUCCUACGGGAGGCAGCAGUGGGGAAUAUUGCACAAUGGGCGCAAGCCUGAUGCAGCGACGCCGCGUGGGGGAUGACGGCCUUCGGGUUGUAAACCUCUUUCACCAUCGACGAAGGUCCGGGUUUUCUCGGAUUGACGGUAGGUGGAGAAGAAGCACCGGCCAACUACGUGCCAGCAGCCGCGGUAAUACGUAGGGUGCGAGCGUUGUCCGGAAUUACUGGGCGUAAAGAGCUCGUAGGUGGUUUGUCGCGUUGUUCGUGAAAUCUCACGGCUUAACUGUGAGCGUGCGGGCGAUACGGGCAGACUAGAGUACUGCAGGGGAGACUGGAAUUCCUGGUGUAGCGGUGGAAUGCGCAGAUAUCAGGAGGAACACCGGUGGCGAAGGCGGGUCUCUGGGCAGUAACUGACGCUGAGGAGCGAAAGCGUGGGGAGCGAACAGGAUUAGAUACCCUGGUAGUCCACGCCGUAAACGGUGGGUACUAGGUGUGGGUUUCCUUCCUUGGGAUCCGUGCCGUAGCUAACGCAUUAAGUACCCCGCCUGGGGAGUACGGCCGCAAGGCUAAAACUCAAAGGAAUUGACGGGGGCCCGCACAAGCGGCGGAGCAUGUGGAUUAAUUCGAUGCAACGCGAAGAACCUUACCUGGGUUUGACAUGCACAGGACGCGUCUAGAGAUAGGCGUUCCCUUGUGGCCUGUGUGCAGGUGGUGCAUGGCUGUCGUCAGCUCGUGUCGUGAGAUGUUGGGUUAAGUCCCGCAACGAGCGCAACCCUUGUCUCAUGUUGCCAGCGGGUAAUGCCGGGGACUCGUGAGAGACUGCCGGGGUCAACUCGGAGGAAGGUGGGGAUGACGUCAAGUCAUCAUGCCCCUUAUGUCCAGGGCUUCACACAUGCUACAAUGGCCGGUACAAAGGGCUGCGAUGCCGUAAGGUUAAGCGAAUCCUUUUAAAGCCGGUCUCAGUUCGGAUUGGGGUCUGCAACUCGACCCCGUGAAGUCGGAGUCGCUAGUAAUCGCAGAUCAGCAACGCUGCGGUGAAUACGUUCCCGGGCCUUGUACACACCGCCCGUCACGUCAUGAAAGUCGGUAACACCCG
Molecule: ribosomal RNA, 1352 nt
Filed under: Mycobacterium sp. DWMJ-353A1
Lineage: Bacteria; Bacillati; Actinomycetota; Actinomycetes; Mycobacteriales; Mycobacteriaceae
Description: bacterial SSU rRNA
Rfam family: Bacterial small subunit ribosomal RNA
Source: RNAcentral